AUACGAAGGGGGCUAGCGUUGUUCGGAUUUACUGGGCGUAGAGCGCACGUAGGCGGAUUGAUUAGUUAGGGGUGAAAUCCCGAGGCUCAACCUCGGAACUGCCUUUAAUACUGUCAAUCUCGAGACCGGAAGAGGUGAGUGGAACUCCUAGUGUAGAGGUGGAAUUCGUAGAUAUUAGGAAGAACACCAGUGGCGAAGGCGGCUCACUGGUCCGGUACUGACGCUGAGGUGCGAAAGCGUGGGGAGCGAACAGGAUUAGAAACCCCAGUAGUCC
RNAcentral lists this ribosomal RNA (274 nucleotides) under uncultured bacterium. RNAcentral describes it as "partial 16S ribosomal RNA". It matches the Rfam family "Bacterial small subunit ribosomal RNA", at positions 523 to 796 of the family's 1533-position model. The record is from RNAcentral.